RNAcentral lists this long non-coding RNA (275 nucleotides) under Homo sapiens (human). RNAcentral describes it as "non-protein coding lnc-VGLL2-1:1". It matches the Rfam family "7SK RNA". Rfam says of the family: 7SK was discovered as an abundant small nuclear RNA in the mid-70s but a possible function has only recently been suggested. Two independent studies have found that 7SK RNA binds the CDK9/cyclin T complex (known as elongation factor P-TEFb). P-TEFb activates transcription by phosphorylating the C-terminal domain of RNA polymerase II. The record is from RNAcentral. Lineage: Eukaryota; Metazoa; Chordata; Mammalia; Primates; Hominidae.
UCAUGUGAGGGUGAUCUCACUUCAACAUCUGCCACCCACUGAUCACCAGGGUUGAUUCAGCUGAUGUCUGGCUAUGCGGGUGUCCCCUUUCUCCACUGUUCCACGUGUAGCCCUCCUCAAGUUGAAAACUUGGUUGAAGAGUAUGACCUUCCCUGAUAGGAAAGGACCAUUCUUUAAUAAAGGUGUGCAAGUAGCUCUGCAAGCUCUCAAGGUAAAGGUGUCUCCUGCACUGCCAGUCUUAUAGUCAAUCACUGCAAAUAGCAAGAAGCCUAAUU